Ostrea edulis (European flat oyster) is the source of this 779-nucleotide long non-coding RNA. RefSeq lists it as uncharacterized. The transcript is spliced from 2 exons. Lineage: Eukaryota; Metazoa; Mollusca; Bivalvia; Ostreida; Ostreidae. The record is from RefSeq and is a predicted model, not a curated record.
AAGGUCUGUCCAUCUGUCUGUCUCAUACAUGCCAACUUUCCCGAUUUCUGCGGGAUUUUCCCGAUUUGAAGCAACUGAAAAGGCAAAUCCCGAUAUCCGGAUCGGGAUUGCAAAAAUACCCCGAAAUCCCGAUUUUCUAAAAAUAUCUCCCAUUUUACGACAACAAACCCCCAUUUGCAACCAGAAUUGGAAAUCCCGCGUCAUUUCUGAACUGGCCAAUCAGAAAUCGGGACAAUAGUCAGCCAUUGCUGUUUACCUGUGUCGCAUGGUGUCGGGUUGGUCUGCCUGUGUCGGGGUGUUUAUUGGACAGUACGAAGCAUGUUUUGAUAGUAAUUAAUCGGGAAGACGGAUUUCAAAUUGACAUAUCCUUUACACAAACGUGAAUGACAACGAUGAUAGUGUCACCACCAAACUGUACAAUCGGACAUUCCGCAUCUCGCUGUCUCGCUGACAGCAUCCAAAAUUUGCAAUAAGAUGUCAUGGGUGCAAAGGUUUUGUUCGCAAACUUCAUAGCAGGGCAGAUCACUCCUUUUCUGGUUGCAAUGCAGAUUAUUCCACCAGUCUCUGCAAGCCCAUGUUUACAGACAAGCAAGAUCGCCUUUGCAGUCGUACCUAAAUGCACGUGCUUUAAUUUAAAUUUUGAUAUAUAGACCGUCCAAUGUUUAUUGUAUGGUGUAAAAUGAUGCAACCUUAAAUAUUAUUUGAUAAUAUGUAUGUGACUUGUUGGAGAAGAUUUUUUGUUGAAUAGAUGAUUUUAAUAAAAUAUUUAUGUAUAUCUU